UAGCUGUGUGGUGGGUAGACGGGCAGGAGGAGGAAAGCCCUGGCUGUGAUGCCGCUGAAUGAUGGCUGCUUUUGGAAUACUCAGCUACGAACACCGGCCAUUAAAGCGACCACGGCUCGGGCCUCCGGACGUUUAUCCGCAAGAUCCAAAGCAGAAAGAGGAUGAGCUGACGGCGCUGAAUGUCAAACAAGGAUUCAACAACCAGCCAGCGGUAUCUGGUGAUGAACACGGCAGUGCCAAAAAUGUCAACUUCAACCCAUCCAAGAUCAGUUCCAACUUCAGCAGCAUUAUUGCAGAAAAGCUGCGCUACAACACCUUUCCAGACACGGGGAAGCGUAAGCCACAGGUCAACCAGAAGGAUAAUUUCUGGCUGGUCACGGCAAGGUCACAGAGCUCCGUCAAUAACUGGUUCACAGACUUAGCAGGGACUAAACCUCUCACACAGCUGGCCAAGAAGGUGCCAAUAUUCAGCAAGAAAGAGGAGGUUUUCGGGUACUUGGCAAAGUACUUGGUCCCUGUCAUGCGCUCAGCGUGGAUGAUCAAGAUGACCUGUGCUUAUCAUGCAGCCAUCACAGAAACGAAAGUCAAGAAGAGACAUGUGAUUGAUCCCUGUAUAGAAUGGACCCAGAUCAUAACAAAGUACCUGUGGGAGCAGCUUCAGAAGGUGGCAGAGUUCUACAGGCAGUUCCCGAGCCAAGGCUGCAGCUCGCCGCUCCCGGCCACUCCCGCCGACGUGGAAACGGCCACAAAGCAGUGGGAGUACAAUGAGAAGCUGGCCAUGUUUAUGUUUCAGGAUGGAAUGCUGGACAGACAUGAGUUCCUGACUUGGGUUCUAGAGUGUUUUGAGAAGGUCCGACCCGGCGAGGAUGAGCUGCUGAGACUCCUCCUGCCACUUUUACUGCAGUACUCGGGGGAAUUCGUACAGUCGGCCUACUUGUCACGCAGGCUGGCUUACUUCUGCACGCGGCGCCUCAACCUGUUGCUAAGCGACGGCAGCCUAGGCCCUGGCGCGGGUGGAGGGCACCCGGCGCAUGGCAUCUUGACACCGCAGGGUAACGCCCUGCCCCCGACCCCAACCUCCCAGCCAGCAGGAGGCAGCCAGCCCCAGACGCCGUUCACAGACUUCUACAUCUGCCCCCAGCAUCGCCCUCUGGUUUUUGGCCUCAGCUGCAUGCUGCAGAGCAUAGUUUUGUGUUGCCCCAGUGCUCUGGUGUGGCACUACUCUCUAACAGACAGCAGAAACAAAACUGGUUCCCCUCUGGAUCUGCUGCCCAUCGCCCCCUCCAGCUUACCAAUGCCCGGGGGAAACACUGCCUUCACACAGCAGGUCCGUGUGAAGCUGAGAGAGAUUGAGGAGCAAGUUAAGGAGCGAGGCCAGGCGGUGGAAUUCCGCUGGUCAUUUGACAAGUGUCAGGAGACCACAGCAGGCUUCACCAUUGGGAGGGUUUUGCACACACUGGAGGUUUUGGACAACCACAGCUUCGAGAAGUCGGACUUUAACAACUCGCUGGACUCCUUAUACAACCGAAUAUUUGGCUCGGGCCAGAGCAAGGAUGGCCAUGAGAUGUCGCCCGACGAUGACGCUGUGGUCACCCUGCUUUGUGAAUGGGCCGUGUGCUGCAAGCGGUCAGGCCGACACAGGGCCAUGGUGGUGGCUAAGCUGCUGGAGAAGCGACAGGCCGAAAUUGAAGCAGAGCGGUGUGGUGAGUCUGAAGUGGUGGAUGAGAAGGGCUCUGUGUCAUCCGGCUCCCUUUCUGCUGCCACACUUCCAGUAUUUCAGGAUGUUCUGCUGCAGUUCCUAGAUACUCAAGCCCCCACGCUGACGGAGCCUGGCAAUGAGAACGAGCGAGUGGAGUUCUCCAACCUGGUCCUGCUCUUUUGUGAGCUCAUCCGCCAUGACGUCUUCUCUCACAACAUCUACAUGUGCACGCUCAUCUCCCGCGGCGACCUGGCUUCCGACUCCCACUUGCCACGCCCCCGCUCCCCCAGCGACGAGCCCUCAGAUGAGUCAGAUCGCAAGGAGCAGGACAUGGGCAGCAGUGUCAAGAUGGAGGAUACCGGCUUGUCGGAGUCUAUGGAAAUUGAUCACAACUCUAGUGCUAACUUUGAUGAGAUGUUCUCUCCUCCGAUGCACUGCGAGUCCAAAGGCAGCCCCUCUCCGGAAAAGUCUGCUCCAGAGCAGGACAGCAAGAGCACCUGCAAGGACAAGUGCAUGGACCCUGCCUUCCCACAGCUGUAUGAGCAGCCCCGACACAUUCAAUAUGCCACACACUUCCCCAUUCCUCAGGAGGAGAACGCCAGUCAUGAGUGCAACCAGCGUCUGGUGGUGCUCUACGGCGUGGGCAAACUGAGGGAUGAAGCGCGACACACCAUCAAGAAGAUAACCAAAGAUAUCUUGAAGGUGCUCAACCGCAAAAGCACUGCAGAAACAGGAGGCGAGGAGGGACAAAAGAGAAAAAGGAGUAAGCCUGAGGCCUUCCCCACGGCAGAAGAUAUCUUCUCCAAAUUCCAGCACCUCUCCCACUUUGACCAGCACCAGGUCACCUCCCAGGUGUCCCGAAAUGUGCUGGAACAGAUCACCAGCUUUGCCUUAGGGAUGUCCUAUCACUUGCCUUUAGUGCAGCACAUUCAAUUCAUCUUUGACCUCAUGGAGUACUCGCUCAACGUUAGUGGCCUCAUCGACUUUGCUAUUCAGCUUCUGAACGAACUCAGCCUGGUGGAAGCCGAGCUGUUGCUCAAGUCGUCCAGCCUGGUGGGCAGCUACACCACGGGCCUUUGUUUGUGCAUCGUGGCUGUGCUGAGGAGGUACCACUCCUGCCUCAUUCUCAAUCCCGAGCAGACAGCGCAAGUUUUCGAUGGGCUGCGUAUCGUGGUCAAGUCAGGUGUGAACCCUGCAGACUGCUCCUCUGCUGAACGCUGCAUCUUAGCCUACCUGUACGACCUCUACACAUCCUGCAGUCACCUCAAGAACAAAUUUGGCGAGAUCUUUAGCGAGUUCUGCUCCAAAGUGAAAAACUCCAUCUACUGCAACAUCGACCCCUCCGACUCCAACAUGCUCUGGGACCCCGAGUUCAUGACGGAGGCCAUCGCUAACCCCUCAGCACACAACUUCAACCACUCCAUGGUGGGGAAAAUCCUCAACGACAGCCCUGCCAACCGCUACAGCUUUGUGUGUAACGUUCUCAUGGACGUGUGUGUGGACCACAGAGACCCUGAGAGGGUGAACGAUAUCGGGAUCCUGUGUGCUGAGCUGACCGCCUAUUGUCGCUCCCUAAGUGCAGAAUGGCUCGGCAUCCUCAAGGCGCUCUGCUGCUCCUCCAAUAAUGGCAACUGCGGCUUCAACGACUUGCUGUGUAACGUCGAUGUUAGCGACUUGUCCUUCCAUGAUUCCCUGGCAACAUUUGUAGCCAUUCUCAUAGCACGACAGUGUCUUCUCCUCGAGGACCUGGUACGUUGCGUGGCCAUUCCAUCCCUUCUCAAUGCAGCCUGCAGCGAGCAAGACUCCGAGCCUGGAGCGAGACUCACCUGCAGGAUUUUGUUGCACCUUUUCAAAACACCCCAGCGCAACCCUGUCCCUCAAGACGGCAUGAAGUCAGACAAAUCCUCGGUUGGUAUCCGAUCAUCGUGUGACCGCCAUCUCCUGGCAGCGUCUCAGAACAGCAUAGUUGUGGGAGCCGUUUUCGCUGUCCUCAAAGCUGUCUUCAUGUUGGGUAAGAAGUGUUUGCUUGUACUCUACUUGGGGAAUUUUGUAAAGGUGCUCAGGAACAACCCGACUGGUCUCAAUGGUGUUGUAGGUGAUGCUGAGCUGAGGGGCUCAGGGCUGUCCCACCCCGCUGGCCUCGACGACAUAUCCGAGGGGCGCAAUGUCUCCAUAGAAACAGCCAGCUUGGAUGUGUAUGCAAAGUAUGUCCUGAAGACCAUCUGCCAACAGGAGUGGGUGGGAGAGCGCUGCCUCAAGUCUCUGUCCGAGGACAGCAGUGCCCUUCAGGACCCGGUGUUGGUAAACAUUCAGGCCCAGAGGCUCCUACAGCUCAUUUGCUACCCUCACCGCCAGCUGGACAGCGAUGACGGAGACAACCCUCAGAGGCAGCGCAUCAAACGCAUCCUACAGAAUAUGGACCAGUGGACGAUGAGGCAGUCAUCUCUGGAGCUGCAGCUGAUGAUCAAACAAAGCACAAACAAUGAGCUCUAUUCUCUCUUGGAGAACAUAGCCAAGGCCACGAUCGAAGUGUUUCAAAAAUCAGCUGAGAUGAACUCCAGUAACCCCUCCUCCGGGAAUGGAGCAGCCCUCCAAGGAGGCUCUGCAUCCAACAGCAGCAGUGCCACAAGCAAGAUGAAACCUAUUUUAAGUUCAUCUGAGCGGUCGGGCGUAUGGUUGGUGGCACCUUUGAUAGCCAAGCUGCCCACCUCGGUUCAGGGUCACGUCCUGAAGGCAGCCGGAGAGGAGCUGGAGAAGGGACAGCACCUAGGCUCGUCCUCACGCAAGGAGAGGGAUCGGCAGAAGCAGAAAAGCAUGUCUUUGUUGAGCCAGCAGCCGUUCCUGUCUCUAGUGCUGACCUGUCUGAAGGGGCAGGACGAGCAGCGGGAGGGUCUCCUCACGUCCCUGUAUAGCCAAGUUCAGCAGAUUGUCACCAACUGGAGAGAGGACCAGUACCAGGAUGACUGCAAGGCAAAGCAGAUGAUGCACGAGGCUCUGAAACUGCGACUGAAUCUUGUGGGCGGCAUGUUCGACACAGUGCAGCGUAGCACCCAGCAAACCACCGAGUGGGCUGUCCUCCUCCUUGACAUUAUCAGCAGUGGGACAGUGGACAUGCAAUCCAAUAACGAGCUCUUCACGACCGUGUUGGACAUGCUGAGCGUACUGAUUAACGGCACGUUGGCUGCCGACAUGUCGAGCAUCUCUCAGGGCAGCAUGGAGGAGAAUAAAAGGGCUUACAUGAAUCUGGUCAAGAAGCUCAGGAAAGAGCUCGGGGAUCGGCAGUCGGAAAGCUUGGAGAAGGUUCGCCAGCUGCUUCCGCUGCCCAAGCAGACCCGUGACGUUAUCACGUGCGAACCUCAGGGCUCCCUCAUCGACACCAAGGGCAACAAGAUUGCCGGUUUUGAGAAGGAGGGGCUUCAAGUGUCCACCAAGCAGAAGAUCUCUCCAUGGGACGUCUUUGAGGGUCUCAAACACUCAGCUCCUCUCUCCUGGGGCUGGUUCGGCACGGUGCGCAUGGACCGCAAGGUGACCAAGUUUGAGGAGCAGCAGCGCUUCCUCCUCUACCACACGCACCUGAAGCCCAAGCCACGCAGCUACUACCUGGAGCCCCUCCCCCUGCCGCCUGAGGAGGAGGAGCCUCUGACGCCCAUCUCCCAAGAGCCAGAGAAGAAGAUGGAGACGGUAAAGCCAGAGAAGAACAUGUCAGCUGUGCCGUCGGAUUCCAACAAGAAGAAGCCUAGCAAGAAGAAGAAGGCGCCAUCAGCCAAGACGGAGGACUAUGUGAACCGCACGCCAGGUGUGGGCUACGGGACAAACAUGCCGCCUGAGCUGAUGCAGAACCCGUACGGGAGGCUGCCUUACAGCCAGCAGAACAUGGGCAUGUACACACAGAAUCAGCCUCUACCUCCAGGGGGGCCUGGUUUAGAUCCUCCCUACAGGCCUGCCCGCAACCCCCAAUUGAACAAGAUGGUGUCCACGAGGCCCAGUUACCCAGGAAUGAUGCCCGGGAUGCAGGCCAACAUGCCCGGCAUGAUGGGGAUGGACAAACAGUACCAAAUGGUCUACAAGCCUCAGCCUAACUUGCAGCAGAACCAGAUGCUGCGCCAGCAGCUGCAGGUCAGACUGGUGAGUCAGUCUCCACUGACAGGUCAAACUGCUCCUCACCAGAACCACAGCAGCAUAAUAGGGCAGCAGAUCAGACAAAUGACACCCAACCAACCAUAUACUUCAAUGCAGCAGUCUCAAAACUUAUCUCAGGGCUACACGUCAUACGGCUCGCACAUGGGCAUGCAGCCGCAUCCGUCCCAAGGGGGCAGUAUAGUUCAGUCCUCUUACAGCAACCAGAACUUCCAGGGCGCCCACCCAGGAACCAACCCCGCCGUGGUGGAUCCUCUGAGGCAAAUGCAGCAGAGGCCCAGUGGUUACGUUCACCAGCAGGCUCCAGGCUACGCACACAACAUGCAGAACGCACAGAGGUUUGCCCACCAGCCCAUCCAGCAAAAUCCCAUUAUGCACGGUCUUGCUCACAUGGGAGGCCAGGGCGGUCAUCCAGGCUUGAGGCCCAACCAGAUGCUGGCGGAACAACAGCAACAACAACAGCAGCAGCAGCAACAACAACAACAGCAACAAGCAGCACAACAGCAGCAGCAGCAGCAGUACCUCAGACAGCAAGCACUCAGACAGCAGGCUCAACAAGCCCAGCAGCAGCAGCAACAACAACAGCAACAGCAACAAGUCCAGCAGCAGGUCCCUCCUCAGCAGCAGGUUGCUCAGCAACAGCAGCAGCAACAACAACAACAGCAGCAACAACAACAACAACAACAGCAGCAGCAGCAGGUGUCUGGUGUACCUCCACCAGGGCAACAACAGAACCAGGGCCUGGGCAUGCAGCCUCUGCCGCCCCAGCAACCCAUGUUCCCACGUCAGGGCAUGCAGCAAACACAGCAGCAGCAACAGACGGCUGCUCUGGUCAGACAACUGCAACAACAACUCUCAAAUACACAACCAGGACAGGGCACCAAUUCAUACUACAUGUGACCGUUGGCGUGCACAGUUGAGAGUGCGUGUGAAGAGGCUGUUGACCAUGCAGCCGUGAUGGAGAUGGCCGAGGCAUCAAGGAAGUAUCUUCACUUUGAGUUUGUUCUUGUUGGAAUAUGGAGGCCUCAUGUAGACAAGAUAACAGAUAAUAAUGGAAAAAGUCUAUGUAAAAAAAGUACCAUAAAGGAUAACAAUAAUGCAUCCUUUUUUGUAUUUUAUUUCAAUUUGUACAAUUAUUUUCAGUUUUGUGUAUUUUUCAUUAAAUCAUGUCAGUUUUUAUGUCUUGUUAAUGUCUUGUGUUGGCUUGGCUGUACUGUAUUUAAUUUGGAAAAAAAUGUCAAUGAAAAGUUUGAUGAUAAACCUGGAAAAGAUGUCUUGUCUCGGGUGGCACAACUGUCUUUGCCAAGAAUGAAAGUGUUUUUGUUUGGUCACUUUCAGCCUCUCAAUGGACAUUCAUGUUUCAUAUGGUGGUUGUGAUCGUGGGUUAUUUACUGAUCGUCCACUAGGGAGAGCUGUUACUCCAAUAAAAAAUCCUCUAAAACACACACAGGCCGAGAACAAAAAAAACCUGAAUAGGUCAAAUACGAUAAAUUCAGUAUAUUUCAGGUUUAAACGAAUCAAUGAACAUUUUUCAACAUUUAUGUUAUGUUAAAAUUGUAGCUUUUUGUCACCGAAUAUUAUACAAGAUUUGUUUCAAACUACACUUGAUAGAGUAAACGUGUGGGCUUGUCGAAUGACGUCAUAUAAUUAACGAACACGAGGGCGGACAUGGUAAGCUAGCUAUUAGCAGUCGUAAUACGCUUGUUUAGCCUGAUUUCUCUUGAAUUGAACUUGGACAUUAAAAGACGCAAUGAACAGCUACAAAAAGAUUUUUAAACGAGUAUUAAAAUCUACCACAAGUUGAGCUGCGCUACAAACCAACUCAAUUUUCCUCUCAUCACCCCAAGGCCAUGCUUUGUUUGGCUUCUCUUCAUUGGGACGUUCCAGACGACUAAAAAGCACCCCUGUGUCAGGACCCAGUGAUCUCCCUCGGAAAGGGCAGUGUGUCCCCUUAUCGCUCGGCCGGAAGUCUAGGUCUGUCCACUUCCUCUCGUCUGCUCGCACACCGAGUCUGGACAGCAGCUUGUCAGCCAGCACCGGCACGGCGGGCUGGAGGAGGAUGCCGUAAAUUCUGAGACACUCAAAGGAGAUGUGCAUGAUGGUGUCCAGCCGACGUCGUUCUCCUUCAUCCAGCCUGUUUAACUUCCAUGGCGUGUGGCGGUGAACAAAGGCGUUAGUUUGCCUCACGCGGGAAGCGAUGGUCUCCAAGGCUUUGUAGAUAUGCAAGGUGUCGUAGUGAUGCUCCACCACAGAUGGGAGGUUUCGAACAGCAUCCAGCAUGUGGGAGUCUUCUGGGUCCUGCAUUCUGAGGAAAGACUGAGAGCAGAAGGGUGGAUAAAUCUGGCCGGGGUUCAAAGCAAGAGAAGUGCAGCGGUUCAAGAGGCCACCAAGAGAAUCGGCCAACUCCGCGUUGAGCAGCUUGAUGACUUUGUCGUCCGUGUAAUCGCAGUCGGAAUCAGGCACGCCUUGACGCAGCAGGAAGUACCUCAAACCGUCUGUGGUGAACACCUGUGAGCACUCAAAGGGGUCCACGACAUUGCCCAAACUUUUAGACAUCUUUUUCCCACCGACUGUCCAGUGGGAGUGCACAUAUAAGGAACGGGGCAACGGCAGCCCUGCCCCAAGAAGGAACGACGGCCAGUAGAUGGCGUGGAAUUUCAGGAUGUCUUUGCCAACAAUGUGACGUAAGACGCUCCACCAGCGUUGGUGGUUGCCAGGGUAACCGGCCACCGUGAGGUAGUUGACCAGAGCGUCCAACCACACGUAAAUAGUGUGAUCGGGAUCCCCCGGCACGGCGAUCCCCCACUGGAGGCGACUUCUCUGGCGGGACACAGAAAGGUCCGGAAGGUCGUCCUGCAGCCACUGGAGAACAUCCUGGCGGAAACGCUCAGGCUGGAUAGCAUCGGGGUUGUUGUGGAGCCAGUCCAGGAGUUGAGUCCGAAAGGCGGACAAACGGAACAUGUAGUUCUCCUCUUUUAACCAUUCCACCUGACAAAUACAUGAAAACACAUGCAAUACAAUUAGUGGUAUUGUGGGGGAUAGGUUCCCAAAAUAACCCGCAAUAAGUGAAAUCCUCAAAGUAACGAAAUUUAUUAACAACUUUAAGGCUGUAAAAUCUAUCAUGAUAAACUUUGUACAUUUUCCUCAGACAGGCGUUCACAUUUUCUCACAUUUUAAACACAUUACGCUUGCCCAAUCUACUAGAUUGGACCCAAUUAAUUAUAAUAUAUUUAUAAUAUAAAGUGACUCACAUAUAAUGACAGUGCUUUGUCCCGGCGCCGUUGGGCUGUAGCAUUUUUGUAUCCUUGUUACAACAUAUGAAGAUGCAGCCGGUUAGCUGCUUCUUCUUCUAUUGUAUAUUGGCGGUUAGCUAGUUUGCUUGCUAUAGCACAAAGGAGACUGACUGACAAUGAUCUACAGCCAAUCAUUAUGCAGGGCGGGUUCUUUCUUAGCCAAUAAGAACUAUUGUUGCUAUUUUUGGCCUGCUCCUGCUGCUGUGGGUUCCUAAUCUGCUCGUACAGGCACGUAAACACACAGACGAGGUGGAGCUGUAAUAAACCACAAGGACGCAGAACACAAUGGACGUUCACACGCUGCAAAAAAUGUCGAGAGGGAACACUGUGCAGCAACUGCUGUGCACACCUCUGUUGAAUUACCUUGUGCCCACUCUCCAGCGACACCUUGAUGGCCUCUCCCGAUGAGUCCACAGAGUCGGCGACCUGCAACGAUGUGAGGAAGCUCUCGUCCGGCGUGCAGUACCAGCCUUCGUAGCUGCCCUUAUAGAUGAGUCCCUUGUCGCGCAGCAGGCACCAGAAGUGCUCCACAGCCUGCCGGUGCCUCUCCUCCGUGGUCCUGAUGUAGUCAGUGAAGGACACGUUGCAGCUGCUGAAGAGGCGUCUGAAUCUCUGGGAGACGCUGGUGCAGAAGAUGAAGGGGUCCUCUCCAGAUGCAUCGGCAGCCUGUUGGAUUUUUAAGCCGUGUUCAUCUGUUCCUGAAAAGUUAAGGAAGAAGCAGUGCCAUUAGGUCUUGAAUUAAGAAAUAAACACUAAAAUAUUGUUGAUGUAUAAAACCCUCUUUCCCUUAACCAAUGCCUUAGCUCUACAGACAUUGAUAAUCUAUAUCUAUAGAUUUUUUUCUAUAUAUUCAACAUAUCACUAGAUUUAUACAGAUUUUUUGCAGGAACAGUAAUCCAGGGCAUGUGAGGCUGAGUUACCUGUUGCAAAUUUUGAGUGGAAUCCCUGAAGAAGCUUGUAUCGGUGCAUGCAGUCAGCUAAAACCGCCGAGUACAAAUGCCCCAAAUGAGGAGAAGCGUUGACAUAAAAGAUGGGGGUGGUAAUGUAGUACCUUCCUUCUUCUUUGGGCACGUUGUUGCUAGCAUGUCUGAUCCUCUGAUUGCUCCACUGAGCAGAAACCGGUGCAAAAAACACGCCUCGUUUCAGUCUGCCCACAGACUGCAGAAUGAGUGCCCUCAUGUUUGGAUGAUAAUGUUGUGCUAAACGCUACUUAGUCAUUUGGCUAUCUUAAAGAUACGAACAGCGAAUACAACACGAAAUGACAAACUACGAAUAACAAAAAGAA
Molecule: non-coding RNA, 10414 nt
Organism: Doryrhamphus excisus (bluestripe pipefish)
Lineage: Eukaryota; Metazoa; Chordata; Actinopteri; Syngnathiformes; Syngnathidae
Source: RefSeq, a predicted model, not a curated record